This 486-nucleotide ribosomal RNA is filed under the name uncultured bacterium. Its description in RNAcentral is "bacterial SSU rRNA". It matches the Rfam family "Bacterial small subunit ribosomal RNA", at positions 28 to 521 of the family's 1533-position model. The record is from RNAcentral.
GACGAACGCUGGCGGCGUGCCUAACACAUGCAAGUCGAACGAAGAAUUGAGAGCUUGCUUUUGAUUCUUAGUGGCGGACGGGUGAGUAACGCGUGAGAAACCUGCCUGUCAGAGGGGGAUAACGUUUGGAAACGAACGCUAAUACCGCAUGACAUAUGCGAACCGCAUGGUUUGCAUAUCAAAGGAGCAAUCCACUGACAGAUGGUCUCGCGUCCGAUUAGCUAGUUGGCGGGGAUAACAGCCCACCAAGGCGACGAUCGGUAGCCGGACUGAGAGGUUGAUCGGCCACAUUGGGACUGAGACACGGCCCAGACUCCUACGGGAGGCAGCAGUGGGGAACAUUGCACAAUGGAGGAAACUCUGAUGCAGCGACGCCGCGUGAGGGGAAGAAGGGUACUUCGGAUUGUAAACCUCUGUCUUCGGGGACGAGUAAUGACGGUACCCGAGGAGGAAGCCAACGGCUAACUACGUGCCAGCAGCCGCGGU